GAUGAACGCUGGCGGCGUGCCUAAUACAUGCAAGUCGAGCGAACGGACGAGAAGCUUGCUUCUCUGAUGUUAGCGGCGGACGGGUGAGUAACACGUGGAUAACCUACCUAUAAGACUGGGAUAACUUCGGGAAACCGGAGCUAAUACCGGAUAAUAUUUUGAACCGCAUGGUUCAAAAGUGAAAGACGGUCUUGCUGUCACUUAUAGAUGGAUCCGCGCUGCAUUAGCUAGUUGGUAAGGUAACGGCUUACCAAGGCGACGAUGCAUAGCCGACCUGAGAGGGUGAUCGGCCACACUGGAACUGAGACACGGUCCAGACUCCUACGGGAGGCAGCAGUAGGGAAUCUUCCGCAAUGGGCGAAAGCCUGACGGAGCAACGCCGCGUGAGUGAUGAAGGUCUUCGGAUCGUAAAACUCUGUUAUUAGGAAAGAACAUAUGUGUAAGUAACUGUGCACAUCUUGACGGUACCUAAUCAGAAAGCCACGGCUAACUACGUG
This 497-nucleotide ribosomal RNA is filed under the name uncultured bacterium. RNAcentral describes it as "partial 16S ribosomal RNA". It matches the Rfam family "Bacterial small subunit ribosomal RNA", at positions 28 to 507 of the family's 1533-position model. The record is from RNAcentral.